AGGGCUGAUAUUGGACAUGUUCUCAGGGAGAAAGAAGAUUCGCAGGUACUGCUUAGAGGCAGAACCACAUGAAACCAAGUGGAAAAAUUGAAGAAAGAUAGCUAAACCUGUUAUUGUGGAAUGCAUUCAGGAUAGACACAAGAAGCCUAAAGUGCAGCUUGUUCAGAGACAUACCUAAGAUCCUUCUGGAAGUUCCAAUCUUACAAACUUCUUUAAGGAUAUACAAGAAGACAGGAGGGCAUUUAGCCUGGAUAACUGUUAUGUGGAUGUUCCACAUAACGUCACCAGCAGCAGUAGAAGCUAUGGAGACAGAGGGAAGCUCUAAACCCUCAACAAAAUUCUUCUACAUGCCUCCCUUUCUCGCAGAAUCACACAACUGCAGAGGUUGGAAGGGACCUCAAGAGAUCAUCGAGUCCAACCCGCCCUGCUAAAGCAGGUUCUUUGCAAUUGGUCACACAGUGAGGAAGCCAUCCUUGACAGAAAUAAAAGGAAUGAAGAACAGUCUGCACUUGAAAAGUGUGAAUAGAAUUCUCCCAGUGAUUAGCUUGAUCACUCACUUAACAAAACCAAUAUGGCUAGUAUUGUCCUGCAUCCAGAGGUGACCUUUUCAAUGCUUUAAAUAAUGGAAAAAUGAUUUAUGGUGAUGCAUCGCAUACUAUUACACUUUGACAAGAAUAAAUGAUGUUUUGAAAUUUUAUAAUGCAUCAGUUUGCCCAAGUAAUCCAUAGGUAUGGCACCUUUAUUUGAUAGGGGCCAACAUUUAUACACUUCCCUUCUAGAAGCAUUAUUUAGCAAUCAAUCUGAUUAAAAAUAAUAUUAAUGACAUAAAUGAACCAUUUAAUAAAUUAAAUAAAUGCUAAAAAAAAGUAAACAUGUAUAAGUUAAGUAUUUUACAUAUGAUUGGAAGCCAUUAUUUCAGUUGUGUAUUUCACUGUAAUAUAAUUUGAAUAAAUUAUACUAAAAUGCUGGAGUUUAUAAUACAACAUUUACUACUAUUUAGAAAUAGCAUAAAAAAAAGUAUAUUUUAUAUAACCAUGAAAAGAGAGUUUUCACUGCUUUUUGCCUUUAUUUUUUUAAAUCUAAGUAACAUUCUGGUUCUUCUUUCCCUACUUCUCAUCUUUCUACUUCCCCAGUUUUCUGUAUAACGGAACAUAAGACCUGCCACAGAACCCUAUGAAAACAAGAUUCAGUAGGAAAGCAUCCAACCUCAGCUAUGUUUAUCUUGAUUGAACUACAUAUAAUGUCAUCUACCUGCUUUGGUAGAGAGAUGACACCAUGUUCAGCUAACCAGCGUAGAGGAUUAUUUUAGGAUUCAUAAUGGUUAGAUAAAAAAUAUCUGUCAUGAAAUUGGCCUAAAAUAUUCUAUAUAUGGAGUAGAAGAAGAAUGCAUCUUCUGCCUUUCAAAUAUGAAUGACAAAGACUACAUUUCAAAGCCUUUAAUGAGUUGUAGUAGGAUGUAUAUUGUAGGACAUGUUAGUUCAGCUAUAAUGAAUGAACUUAAAAAUAAAAACUCUCAUCUUUUAAAUCUAAAUCUGAAUGAGAAGUGAUACCUGAUGAUUCCAAUAUUUACUUUGAAUGGUAAUAGCUUAUGUUAGUACCUUUUUUAUAAUAUUACACUAACAUGAAUGAAGCAUUAAUCUAGUUAAAGUUGUUCACCAUAUUUAAGAAAAAAAAAACUACUGUCAGCUGUGUAGAACAU
Long non-coding RNA from Lagopus muta (rock ptarmigan), 1699 nucleotides. RefSeq lists it as uncharacterized. Lineage: Eukaryota; Metazoa; Chordata; Aves; Galliformes; Phasianidae. The record is from RefSeq and is a predicted model, not a curated record. The transcript is spliced from 5 exons.